Molecule: long non-coding RNA, 1446 nt
Filed under: Homo sapiens (human)
Lineage: Eukaryota; Metazoa; Chordata; Mammalia; Primates; Hominidae
Description: non-protein coding lnc-REEP3-2:9
Source: RNAcentral
AGCAAUUUGGAUGUCUGCAUAAAAGCAGACUUGUUUUUUUUUCUCUCCACUUCUGGCUCCUGGAAAUAAUAUUCUCUUAACCUUUUGGAAUUAAACCAGCCAAAUAGAGUGUAACAUGUUUCUUAAUCAUUUGGGCCACCUUCUCCUUUCUGAAUGGAUGUUGGUUUCAGUGGGAAUGUUUUCUGUGGUUGUGGAUCAUUGAGAAGAUGGUGCUGAUUUGCUCUGGUAAGCUGAAGGAACAACCAGGCACGUGGCAUGAAGUGAAAUAAGGACAAAUGCAAGAGACAUCCUGGAGACAGGCAACUGAGGACAAAGAAAGUCUGUGGGGAAAGGGUGGUGAACCAGGUGCCCACCUGCCAGCAUUAUUGCUGAGGCACAUCUCAGCCAGGUUUGAGGUGAAGGCCAAAAUAGAAAUUGCCAUCAAGCUCCAGAUGAUCCUCAGUGAGGGAUACCGCUCUCUCAGUAUUCAAGAGUCACCCUUCCACAGAGAAGCCCUAGACUGCCCAUCAGUGGAAUAUGAGAGAGAGCCAGAGCCUUCAGACCAAGACAAUCGAACAUCCCUGGAUAUCUGAGAUAGCCAGCCUUUCUUCUGGAGAGCUUCCCAGUUGGCAUGAUGACAACGUAUUUGGCCCUGGCAAUAGAUUAUGGCUGGUACAAACCAGUUCUCAGGAUAUCUUACAACUAGAGGCAGCCUUAAGACCCUGUUUUGUCGAGAAUACCUACUUGGAAGUCUAGUCAAAAGAGUGGCUCACUCUAGUUUCACUUCAUCUUUUUUGUUGGGCUGUCCUAAGAGUGUCAAGAAGAAACAGCAUCCAGAAACAUGUUUUUUUCUACCAUUUCUCCUGAAGCAAAAGCCUUCAUCAGCCUCUGGUCAUUUCACUAAGGAACAACAGGCAACAGUUGCAUCAAAUGUUUAAAGAGAAUCACCAACUCUGUCCAGCUGCAAUGCUGGACUCCUCAAAUAGCCCAUAGCCCUGCCUUCUUCACCCCUCUCAUUUUGUUAUCUUUUUUUUUUUUUACUUGCAAAACCCUAAAUCCAGGUAACAAAUCCUAUACAUAUUAGAGUUAUCUGGGGCUCCAUGAAACAAAAUCCCAACUAAACAUAUUAUUCCUUACCUAAACAAGAGGAGUCUAUUUUGCAUAUUUUUCUUCCAAGCAUGUUUAUUCUCCAAAUAUAUACUUUUUGUUCCUGUAACAAAAGUCUGCAUGGAGACAGCCCAGGUUUGGGACUCUAGCUUCACAAUGCCAUCCGUUUCCUGGGCUUUCUGCUUUCCUCUCUGCCAUCAUUGGCAGAGCCGUCCGUCCUCACGCUGCCACCUCAGUGUCACAAUGGCUGUUCCAUUUUCAGCAACAGACAUUCUUUCUUUGUGAGAUUAUAGAAACUUUGGUUAUCUCUCCCACCCACUCUAUGUUAAAAACAAGAAAAGCCAAUAAAAAACUAACAUU